RNAcentral lists this ribosomal RNA (485 nucleotides) under uncultured bacterium. RNAcentral's name for it is "bacterial SSU rRNA". It matches the Rfam family "Bacterial small subunit ribosomal RNA", at positions 28 to 526 of the family's 1533-position model. The record is from RNAcentral.
GACGAACGCUGGCGGCGUGCUUAACACAUGCAAGUCGAACGAUGAAGCCUAGCUUGCUGGGUGGAUUAGUGGCGAACGGGUGAGUAACACGUGAGUAACCUGCCCUGGACUCUGGGAUAACCCCGAGAAAUCGGAGCUAAUACCGGAUAGGACCUUGAGCGGCAUCGCUUGGGGUGGAAAGUUUUUUCGGUUUGGGAUGGACUCGCGGCCUAUCAGCUUGUUGGUGAGGUAAUGGCUCACCAAGGCGUCGACGGGUAGCCGGCCUGAGAGGGUGACCGGCCACACUGGGACUGAGACACGGCCCAGACUCCUACGGGAGGCAGCAGUGGGGAAUAUUGCACAAUGGGCGCAAGCCUGAUGCAGCAACGCCGCGUGAGGGAUGACGGCCUUCGGGUUGUAAACCUCUUUUAGCAGGGAAGAAGCGAGAGUGACGGUACCUGCAGAAAAAGCGCCGGCUAACUACGUGCCAGCAGCCGCCGUAAAAC